Molecule: unclassified non-coding RNA, 345 nt
Filed under: soil metagenome
Description: partial contains 5.8S ribosomal RNA, internal transcribed spacer 2, and large subunit ribosomal RNA
Rfam family: 5.8S ribosomal RNA (bases 1-120)
Source: RNAcentral
GAUGAAGAACGUAGCGAAAUGCGAUACGUAAUGUGAAUUGCAGAAUUCAGUGAAUCAUCGAGUCUUUGAACGCACAUUGCGCCCUCUGGUAUUCCGGAGGGCAUGCCUGUCCGAGCGUCAUUGCUGCCCUCAAGCACGGCUUGUGUGUUGGGCCCCGCCCCCCGAUCCCGGGGGGCGGGCCCGAAAGGCAGCGGCGGCACCGCGUCCGGUCCUCGAGCAUAUGGGGCUUUGUCACCCGCUCUGUAGGCCCGGCCGGCGCUUGCCGAUCAACCAAACUUUUUUCCAGGUUGACCUCGGAUCAGGUAGGGAUACCCGCUGAACUUAAGCAUAUCAAUAAGCGGAGGA